This 468-nucleotide ribosomal RNA is filed under the name uncultured bacterium. RNAcentral describes it as "partial 16S ribosomal RNA". It matches the Rfam family "Bacterial small subunit ribosomal RNA", at positions 28 to 507 of the family's 1533-position model. The record is from RNAcentral.
GACGAACGCUGGCGGCGUGCUUAACACAUGCAAGUCGAACGGAAAGGCCCUGCUUUUGUGGGGUGCUCGAGUGGCGAACGGGUGAGUAACACGUGAGUAACCUGCCCUUGACUUUGGGAUAACUUCAGGAAACUGGGGCUAAUACCGGAUAGGAGCUCCUGCUGCAUGGUGGGGGUUGGAAAGUUUCGGCGGUUGGGGAUGGACUCGCGCCUUAUCCGCUUGUUGGUGGGGUAGUGGCUUACCAAGGCUUUGACGGGUAGCCGGCCUGAGAGGGUGACCGGCCACAUUGGGACUGAGAUACGGCCCAGACUCCUACGGGAGGCAGCAGUGGGGAAUAUUGCACAAUGGGCGGAAGCCUGAUGCAGCAACGCCGCGUGCGGGAUGACGGCCUUCGGGUUGUAAACCGCUUUCGCCUGUGACGAAGCGUGAGUGACGGUAAUGGGUAAAGAAGCACCGGCUAACUACGUG